GGUUAAGCGACUAAGCGUACACGGUGGAUGCCCUGGCAGUCAGAGGCGAUGAAGGGCGUGCUAAUCUGCGAUAAGCGCCGGUAAGGUGAUAUGAACCGUUAUAACCGGCGAUACCCGAAUGGGGAAACCCAGUGUGAUUCGUCACACUAUCAUUAACUGAAUCCAUAGGUUAAUGAGGCGAACCGGGGGAACUGAAACAUCUAAGUACCCCGAGGAAAAGAAAUCAACCGAGAUUCCCCCAGUAGCGGCGAGCGAACGGGGAGGAGCCCAGAGCCUGAAUCAGCAUGUGUGUUAGUGGAAGCGUCUGGAAAGGCGCGCGAUACAGGGUGACAGCCCCGUACACAAAAGCGCAUGUGCUGUGAGCUCGAUGAGUAGGGCGGGACACGUGGUAUCCUGUCUGAAUAUGGGGGGACCAUCCUCCAAGGCUAAAUACUCCUGACUGACCGAUAGUGAACCAGUACCGUGAGGGAAAGGCGAAAAGAACCCCGGCGAGGGGAGUGAAAAAGAACCUGAAACCGUGUACGUACAAGCAGUGGGAGCCCCACCACUAAGCCAGUGGUGAACUCCACAUACGCAUCCUUUGCUGAGGAUACGGUUAACGGAGCGAAAGCGACGUUCAACCGCAAAAGAAGCAGAGGGGGCUUAGUGGUGGGGUGACUGCGUACCUUUUGUAUAAUGGGUCAGCGACUUAUAUUCUGUAGCAAGGUUAACCGUAUAGGGGAGCCGGAGGGAAACCGAGUCUUAAUUGGGCGUUAAGUUGCAGGGUAUAGACCCGAAACCCGGUGAUCUAGCCAUGGGCAGGUUGAAGGUUGGGUAACACUAACUGGAGGACCGAACCGACUAAUGUUGAAAAAUUAGCGGAUGACCUGUGGCUGGGGGUGAAAGGCCAAUCAAACCGGGAGAUAGCUGGUUCUCCCCGAAAGCUAUUUAGGUAGCGCCUCGUGAACUCAUCUCCGGGGGUAGAGCACUGUUUCGGCUAGGGGGCCAUCCCGGCUUACCAACCCGAUGCAAACUGCGAAUACCGGAGAAUGUUAUCACGGGAGACACACGGCGGGUGCUAACGUCCGUCGUGAAGAGGGAAACAACCCAGACCGCCAGCUAAGGUCCCAAAGUCAUGGUUAAGUGGGAAACGAUGUGGGAAGGCCCAGACAGCCAGGAUGUUGGCUUAGAAGCAGCCAUCAUUUAAAGAAAGCGUAAUAGCUCACUGGUCGAGUCGGCCUGCGCGGAAGAUGUAACGGGGCUAAACCAUGCACCGAAGCUGCGGCAGCGACACUGUGUGUUGUUGGGUAGGGGAGCGUUCUGUAAGCCUGUGAAGGUGUGUCGUGAGGCAUGCUGGAGGUAUCAGAAGUGCGAAUGCUGACAUAAGUAACGAUAAAGCGGGUGAAAAGCCCGCUCGCCGGAAGACCAAGGGUUCCUGUCCAACGUUAAUCGGGGCAGGGUGAGUCGACCCCUAAGGCGAGGCCGAAAGGCGUAGUCGAUGGGAAACGGGUUAAUAUUCCCGUACUUGGUGUUACUGCGAAGGGGGGACGGAGAAGGCUAUGUUGGCCGGGCGACGGUUGUCCCGGUUUAAGCGUGUAGGCUGGUUUUCCAGGCAAAUCCGGAAAAUCAAGGCUGAGGCGUGAUGACGAGGCACUACGGUGCUGAAGCAACAAAUGCCCUGCUUCCAGGAAAAGCCUCUAAGCAUCAGGUAACAUCAAAUCGUACCCCAAACCGACACAGGUGGUCAGGUAGAGAAUACCAAGGCGCUUGAGAGAACUCGGGUGAAGGAACUAGGCAAAAUGGUGCCGUAACUUCGGGAGAAGGCACGCUGACACGUAGGUGAAGUGAUUUACUCACGGAGCUGAAGUCAGUCGAAGAUACCAGCUGGCUGCAACUGUUUAUUAAAAACACAGCACUGUGCAAACACGAAAGUGGACGUAUACGGUGUGACGCCUGCCCGGUGCCGGAAGGUUAAUUGAUGGGGUCAGCGCAAGCGAAGCUCCUGAUCGAAGCCCCGGUAAACGGCGGCCGUAACUAUAACGGUCCUAAGGUAGCGAAAUUCCUUGUCGGGUAAGUUCCGACCUGCACGAAUGGCGUAAUGAUGGCCAGGCUGUCUCCACCCGAGACUCAGUGAAAUUGAACUCGCUGUGAAGAUGCAGUGUACCCGCGGCAAGACGGAAAGACCCCGUGAACCUUUACUAUAGCUUGACACUGAACAUUGAGCCUUGAUGUGUAGGAUAGGUGGGAGGCUUUGAAGUGUGGACGCCAGUCUGCAUGGAGCCGACCUUGAAAUACCACCCUUUAAUGUUUGAUGUUCUAACGUGGACCCGUUACCCGGGUUGCGGACAGUGUCUGGUGGGUAGUUUGACUGGGGCGGUCUCCUCCUAAAGAGUAACGGAGGAGCACGAAGGUUGGCUAAUCCUGGUCGGACAUCAGGAGGUUAGUGCAAUGGCAUAAGCCAGCUUGACUGCGAGCGUGACGGCGCGAGCAGGUGCGAAAGCAGGUCAUAGUGAUCCGGUGGUUCUGAAUGGAAGGGCCAUCGCUCAACGGAUAAAAGGUACUCCGGGGAUAACAGGCUGAUACCGCCCAAGAGUUCAUAUCGACGGCGGUGUUUGGCACCUCGAUGUCGGCUCAUCACAUCCUGGGGCUGAAGUAGGUCCCAAGGGUAUGGCUGUUCGCCAUUUAAAGUGGUACGCGAGCUGGGUUUAGAACGUCGUGAGACAGUUCGGUCCCUAUCUGCCGUGGGCGCUGGAGAACUGAGGGGGGCUGCUCCUAGUACGAGAGGACCGGAGUGGACGCAUCACUGGUGUUCGGGUUGUCAUGCCAAUGGCACUGCCCGGUAGCUAAAUGCGGAAGAGAUAAGUGCUGAAAGCAUCUAAGCACGAAACUUGCCCCGAGAUGAGUUCUCCCUGAGACUUAGAGUCUCCUGAAGGAACGUUGAAGACGACGACGUUGAUAGGCCGGGUGUGUAAGCGCAGCGAUGCGUUGAGCUAACCGGUACUAAUGAACCGUGAGGCUUAACCUU
RNAcentral lists this ribosomal RNA (3004 nucleotides) under Salmonella enterica subsp. enterica. RNAcentral's name for it is "23S ribosomal RNA". It matches the Rfam family "Bacterial large subunit ribosomal RNA". Lineage: Bacteria; Pseudomonadati; Pseudomonadota; Gammaproteobacteria; Enterobacterales; Enterobacteriaceae. The record is from RNAcentral.